Molecule: ribosomal RNA, 497 nt
Filed under: uncultured bacterium
Lineage: Bacteria
Description: partial 16S ribosomal RNA
Rfam family: Bacterial small subunit ribosomal RNA
Source: RNAcentral
GAUGAACGCUGGCGGCGUGCCUAAUACAUGCAAGUCGAGCGAACGGACGCGAAGCUUGCCUCUCUGAUGUUAGCGGCGGAAGUAUGAGUACCGCGUGGGUCCCCUACCUAUAAGUAUGGGAUAAAUUCGGGAAACCGUAGCUAAUACCGGCUAAUAAUUUGAACCGCAUGGCUGACAAGUAUAAUACGGUUUUGCCGUUACUUAUAGCUGGUUCCGCGUUGCAUUAGCUAGUUGGUAAGGUAACGGCUUACCAAGGCAACGAUGCAUAGCCGACCUGAGAGGGUGAUCGGCCACACUGGAACUGAGACACGGUCCAGACUCCUACGGGAGGCAGCAGUAGGGAAUUUUCCGCAAUGGGCGAAAGCCUGACGGAGCAACGCCGCGUGAGUGAUGAAGGUCUUCGGAUCGUAAAACUCUGUUAUUAGGGAAGAACAUAUGUGUAAGUAACUGUGCACAUCUUGACGGUACCGAAUCAGAAAGCCACGGCUAACUACGUG